CAAACGGGUUUAUUAAAAACCACUCAAAUACACAAAAAAAUCAUAG
This is a non-coding RNA of Ixodes scapularis (black-legged tick), 46 nucleotides long. The record is from Rfam. NCBI's taxonomy places the organism in Eukaryota, Metazoa, Arthropoda, Arachnida, Ixodida, Ixodidae.